GCAGAUGAAGGAACCGAGGUCUAGAGAAGUAAGGUCAGCAAUAGCAAGGAUGGUAACACUUUUAGAGACAGUGGCCAGGGGGAAACUUGUGCUGAGAGGACCAAAAACCCAGGAGAAAAAGGAAAAAACCCCUCUAAUCUGAUGCAAUAGCCAGAGCCUGUCGCUGUAACCCCCGCCCAUUCUGCUUCUGUAAUGACGCUUGGGGCGGGACCCAAUCAAUUGGCUCCACAUGCUCUGACUUAUACUUCCGACCAAUGUCCAUUCUAUAGCUGUGAAACGCCCCAGAACUUGUUUGCAUUUGCCUAUAAAGGAAAUGUAAAUCGCCAGCACGGGGCUCUCUGGUUCUCUCCGCUCCACUAGCUGGGAGUGGGCAGAGGCCCAGGUUCGAACCUGCAAUAAACGACCCUUGCUUUUUGGCUUUGACUCUGGA
Molecule: long non-coding RNA, 430 nt
Organism: Suricata suricatta (meerkat)
Lineage: Eukaryota; Metazoa; Chordata; Mammalia; Carnivora; Herpestidae
Exons: 2
Source: RefSeq, a predicted model, not a curated record